UUUUUAAGCAGCGCAUCGUCUUCUUAUCGGGUUGGCAAAAGGCUACUCAUCGUCUUCUUCAUCGGGCAAAGAAGCGAGCGAGAGAGAGAGAGAGAUGAGCGCAGAACUAAUCCAAGACCUCCUCGCCUCAGUUCUCGAUGAUGCAGCUAUUUGAUACCUCUUGAGGAUGAUUUUCUUUUGGAUUUGGCGGAGUAUUUGUUGACUGGAAGGCGAAUCUGCCACGCCAAGAAGGUAGGCGCAGAACUAAUCCAAGACCUCCUCGCCUCAGUUCUCGAUGAUGCAACUAUCUGAUACCUUUUGAGGAGGAUUUGCUUUUGGAUUUGGCAGAGUAUUUGUUGACUGGGAGGGGAAUCUGCCGCGCCAAGAAGGGUUUCUAUCGGAUCAACAGCCAAGCUGCGAGAUGGAGAAGAAGAUGGUUUCUAUUGGUCCCACAGACAAGUGGCGAGAUGGAGAUUAAGAUGUGAUUAUCACAAGUGGGCAGAUUGUCAUUCAUUCUUUUGAAAUUUCAGGAUCAGUUGCUAAGCAGCUCAUUCAUCUCUUCUUAGUUUCAUAAUUUAUUGGCUGAAUUCUGAACUUUGUGUACUUGAAGAAGAUUUUUGCUUGCGGUUUAGAAAGCUGAUCUUCUCCCAACAAAAUGGAAAGACAACAGGAUUGGGCUCCUUCUGCAUUUAGCAUAUGGCAUGUUCAUUACGUUGUUGGUUCUUUUUAUGCUCAUAAUUCAAUGGAUUGUCCUCCUUCGACAGAAAGUUUUGAUUUACACCAGAUUCUUUUGUGCAAUCCUGAUGACAUUUACUCAAAGGAAAUAGCAGACAAGGAGCCACAAUAUCAACAAUUUGAAUUCCUCUGGAUGGGAUAUUUUGAGAACUUUAUCAGGUGCAGCUGCAUAUUGUAUGUCUACUCCACGAUUUGCAAAAAUUUGGUGGGAUAAAGGAUGUGACUUGAGAAGAUCAAUUUUGAUAUGGCGACCGAUAGGAUGCCCAGCUUUUGGCACACUUGGUGAUUGUGUGAUACAAGGGUUAGACAUUGGCUCUUCUUAUGUUUUAUAAAUGAUACAAAAUUUGUGAUAUAAUAAUUCACAAUUUACUUGUUUCUGUUUAGAACCACCAGCUUUAGAUUGAUAACAUAAUUUGUGUUUAUCAUAACUCACGAGUUACUCAUUUGUCUCAAUGUGACAAUCCAUCAAUUUCUGCAAGUCCUGUAUAAUUCGCUAAAGUUGCACAUAUUUCUGGAAAAGGAUUUGAUCAGGCUUUUUUUCUGGUAUCCAAUUCCUCCUGGCUAUGUUUCAUUUGAUUGAGUGGUGACAACAACUGAUUAUCCACCAAAAAGGGAUUCAUAACUCAUGAGUUACUCAUUUGUCUCAAUGUGACAAUCCAUCAAUUUCUGCAAGUCCUAAAUAAUUCGCUAAAGUUGCACAUAUUUCUGGAAAAGGAUUUGAUCAGGCUUUUUUUCUGGUAUCCAAUUCCUCCUGGCUAAGUUUCAUUUGAUUGAGUGGUGACAACAACUGAUUAUCCACCAAAAAAGGAUUUUGUCUGCUGUCCUAGAUCGGAUCUGUUAACCAAACAAAUGUUGCUAGUGAACCCAUUUCUAGGUCAUCUAGUUCAAAGGGCACAAAUUGUUAGAGUAUCUGGAAAGUUGAGAAUCAGGUAUCCCCCAAUUUUUUUGUUAUUCUCUUCUACUUCACGUCCUGAUGUCUUCUUAUUCUUGACUUGUACUUUUCUUGCAUGUUUUGAUCACAUUAUACCAAUAACCCGAUUGGUGUAUAAAUUUAGUGACUAUGCCAAAGCUAAAGCACAUGAAAAUGUUGCUGCUGAGUUGAAGUUGGAACUUCUCUCACUGAGUGUUUUGGACAAUUUUUGUGGAACAAUGAGUAGCCUUGUCUUGCUUACAUUGGUCUUAGAAAGAAGACACUUCAGUCUUCUUAUUUACUGUAUUAAUGCUUACUUUUGAUUUGGUUCAAAUGACGCCACUUCUUGACACAAUAGUGACAAUUAUUACACGUGGGAAUUUUCAGGCAAUGAAUGUUGUUCUAAUAUGUUCAAUUGCUUCAUCCACAUUCAACAGACAACUAGAGGCAUGAGAGCCUCUAAUUGAACCAUUUGAUGCCAUAUUCCAGUAAUUAUUUGUAAUUUAUAUAUUUUGUAAGAUUUCAAUAAGGGUUUGAAAAAAAUGGGAGGGGGUUAUGUCAUUUACAGUUCCAUAUAUUCCUAUACUUCCUUAAAUCUAGUAUAUGUUGGACUUUACUAGUAUUUUCAUUAUUAGUUUUUUUACCCUUUAGAAUGGAAACAUAUUAUAAGCAAAAAUUCACAAUCCACAAUCAGCAUGCAAAUUCAUUUUUCUUCAACGAGUGCCCUAAAUGUUAACAUUAGUGCUGCAAAUCUAGAAACUCUCAUUGAAACUAUUAUUUUCUGGUAUGCAAAAUGAUGUGGAGAACAAAUUGUUGAGAAAAAGCAAGGUAAUGUAUGAUGUCAAUUCACAUGUUACCCCAUUGAGAUUUGUUGUAUCUACAGUUGAACUAAUUAUAUGUUUUUGUUCUUUCAGGAAACUGGUGAAAAUUAUAGUAAUUCAGAUAAUUUAAUAUCCUCUGUAUAGUUGAUGAUGUUCAGGAACAAGCUCGGAUGUGAUAUGCAUUUGAGAGAAUUUGAACAAAAUUCAGAGACAACCAAGUUUUUACAGCACAAUGGGCAUGUUUCACUAUUCUUUCCUACUCCAAGAUUUUUGGAUAAGCUAAAUGUCGUGGCCAAUUCUAGGGAAUCAAGCUACUAUGUUGCUAUAUAGAUUCUUGAGUCGGAGGUCAUACAACUGUAUUUAUUCUUAUAAUCAUACUCUAAAUCAAUAGUUUUGGAUAUAAUUCUAUUUCAUACAUUUGCAAAGGCUAACUAUAGUGGAUGAUGGUAAUAACCAUGACUACUUUUGUCCUUUAUGGUUGCUUAUUGAUGGUAAGGUAUUUGAUCAAUACAAACUUUUCCCACAAGUGCAAGGACAAGUUGCAUGAGUCCAUUGCUAUCAAAGAACACUAAGAGCCACGCUAGGCGGAACAAACUCUUCAUAUUUGAAGUUCCUAAGAAGAUCUAGUUAAAGUUGGAGAAGAGAGAAGAACUACAAAUUGGCUUAGGUCUACUGUAUGUGUAAGUGAACUAUAAUGUGAACCCAAUACUCCAAUUCAGCAUCAAAACCAGCACCCAAGACCAGGAAUUCAAAUCUGUUCUGCAUUUCACAAGUUCAGUUUCAGAAAUUG
Long non-coding RNA from Zingiber officinale, 3235 nucleotides. RefSeq lists it as uncharacterized. The record is from RefSeq and is a predicted model, not a curated record. NCBI's taxonomy places the organism in Eukaryota, Viridiplantae, Streptophyta, Magnoliopsida, Zingiberales, Zingiberaceae. The transcript is spliced from 7 exons.